CUUCAACCAUUAAGGUUGUGUAAAGUGUUUGAUGGUGUCCGUCACCUCCACCUCCAUUAAGAGUUUUGAGGCCAGAAGCAGCAGUAACUAAUUGUGUGAUACAGCUAUCUAAAUCUGUAUUUAAAACAAGAAUGGCUGUAGAACAGUAAAUGUAGAAUUGGCUAUUUACUUUAAUGCCAUGUCCUAGAUAUUUGAAGGACACUGCUCAGAAUGAGCUGUUAUUUCUGUCUUAUGGUACCAUUUUUUCCAAUUAUACUUCAGGUUUUCUGGAAGAUAUUCUGAAGAGAAUAAUGGUUGCAAGCAAUGAGGAUGAUGGAUCUCACAGGAUUCAAACUGAUAUCUUUAUAAAAAAGAACAUUGUAAAACGUGAAUCUUCUCCAGGAAAUCCAGGAUCCUCAGGCUUCUGGAGUUCCUGCUGUUUCUGCUCAUGUCAUUGUGACAUUUCCCAUGGAAUCCAGCUCUGGACUUCAGGUGUAAGAAAACAUCCUCCUCUGGAUGCCACUUCAGUGAACAAUUUAUUGUGGGGAAAGGAGAGGAGUCAUUGUUCUUCUAAGCUUUACUAUCUGUGACAGUCACUAAACAGAGAAAAUAUGAGUGCACCCUUUGGGAAACAGAAUGAAGUCAGAGAAUGUGGCCUGAAGAGACACGUGAGAGCAAAGCUAAUCAAACUGCAAUCCUCAUAAGACAUAGCAGGAUAUUUUUUUAAUUGCAGUACUUUUGUACAUAAUAUUCUGCUAAAAAACCAACAGGGCUUUCUGAAGAAAAAAUAGACAAACAUAAUUUAUUUAUAAUAAUAAAUUGUCUGCUG
RNAcentral lists this long non-coding RNA (808 nucleotides) under Numida meleagris (helmeted guineafowl). Its description in RNAcentral is "lncRNA (ENSNMEG00000010676.1)". The record is from RNAcentral. Lineage: Eukaryota; Metazoa; Chordata; Aves; Galliformes; Numididae.